AUGGUGAUGGUCGGGUUACAGUCGAUAUCAAGUUAGUUAUGGAACCGACAUUCGGUAUAGCAUCCGAAAGAAACAAAAGGAUAUCGAUUUUACAUCGGUCAAAUUUAUUUCAUAUAAUUAAUUUAAUAAAUAACAGAAAAAAAAAUUAUAUUUAUAUUUAAGAAAAAAUGAGUAAAAAAAGUCUUUGGAAUUUUACACUCAGGUAUAUUUAUUUCAUAUAAUUGUAAUUAAGCUAUAUAUGAUUUCAAUUUAUAUGUUCUUUUAAUUUAAAAAAAAGUUAUUAAAGUAUUAAGUUAACCUUACAGUUGGCCUUUAACUUUGAUUUCUUUUAGUUUUAAGUAAUAAUUGUUUACAGUUGUAAACUAUCAUUGACAUAAAUAACAUUCGUUUUAUUUUUUUUCACCGGACGUGAACCAUUAAUUAACCACAAUACAUAACAUUCUCUCCAUUUUUUCUAUCACUUUCCUCUAUCUCUAUCUCGAUCUGUCUUUUUACCAUCAUCGUUUCAUCACCGCAUGUGUAUGUUGUCAUCUCCUUGAAGCCGCUCUACUCAGCUACAUCUCCAAAUCUGGGCCUCAUAUCCACUACGAUUUCUCUAUUAGUCACACCACCAAGCCACCACCGCACUAUAUCUGAACGAAGUUCGUCACUACGACCACCAAACAAUACCAACCACAGAUCAAUCACCAGAUCUGGAAGGAGUUUGUCAUCUCCGGUACAACCUCACUUGAAUCUGCGCUACCGAGGUUGUCCUGCUUCGUUGAUUAUGCAAGUGGUGUCGGUUUUAUUCGAAGAUGUGCGAGCUGAGGGUGGAACUUCCGGUGGUGGGAAGCCCUUUGGCCGGUGCUGGUGACAGGCCAUGGUGGUGGCGGUGGUCAAAUGUCAUGGACUGGAGGAGAGAGAUGUAAAGAGAAGAAAAAUUAAAUCUCUGUCCUGUAACAUGUUGACACGUGGGCAAAAAGCCAGCUGACACGCAGCUGGCUAGCACUGGUCAUCUAACUUCAAAAAUGUUAUAGAGUUAAUAUUUGACCAAAACAAACUGUUAAAAUAUCACACUUCUUGUUUGUCCAAGUUUAUGUAUGAUGUUUAUUAAUUAUCUAGGGCCAGAAUAUACUAUCAAGAUAUUUUUUUGAUAGUAAGGUUAGGAUGCAAUCAUAUCCAUUAGAUCUAAAAUAUAUGGCUAAGAUUAAAUAGGUGAAAUUGAACAGAAAAAGAGGCGUGUGAGUUUGUUUAAGGGUAUUCUAGUCCAUUCAAGCAAAUAGUUUCAUUCUCCUCCAAUUACCCCCCGUUUUUAAAACGUUAAUAACUUUUCUCAUACGAAACUACUUUUUUUAUUAAAACUGCACCAUAAAAUGAGCGUUUUUUAUCUUUAAAACGAUUAUAUUAUUGCUAUACUUUUGAAAAAAGAUCGAAAACCCAGAUGUGUAA
This 1428-nucleotide long non-coding RNA is filed under the name Helianthus annuus (common sunflower). RNAcentral describes it as "hypothetical non coding rna". The record is from RNAcentral. Lineage: Eukaryota; Viridiplantae; Streptophyta; Magnoliopsida; Asterales; Asteraceae.